RNAcentral lists this long non-coding RNA (743 nucleotides) under Homo sapiens (human). RNAcentral describes it as "non-protein coding lnc-PSMA1-2:5". The record is from RNAcentral. Lineage: Eukaryota; Metazoa; Chordata; Mammalia; Primates; Hominidae.
GCGGGGCUUACUGCUGAUGCUAGACUGUUAUGUAAUUUUAUGCGUCAGGAGUGUUUGGAUUCCAGAUUUGUAUUCGAUAGACCACUGCCUGUGUCUCGUCUUGUAUCUCUAAUUGGAAGCAGUAUCCUUUUUAUGUUAGCAUUUAUGGAUAUGAACUUUGAAGGGUUUUGAUACUUGUGUUAAUUAUUAGGAAUAUAAUAAUAAUAUGACAUAGGUAAGAUUGUGAAAACUUUAAAACAACAAAUUGGAUUGCUCUUUCAUUAGCCUUUAUAAGCAAUUUAUAUUUGCUAGACACAAAUAAGCCCAACUUCAGGAAAAUCAUCUAAGCAUCUUUUUAGAGGGGAUUUAAAGUUUCUUAAUGGUUCUAGAUGUCCCAAGAAAUCCUAGACCCCUUGUAUCCAAAACAAAUCAGGUUUUAGAUGGGAAGAAAUUAUUUUGCUGGCACUCUUUCUUAGGUUCGGUAGAAAGUCAAACAUUUUAUAUUAGGCCAAAGAAAUAGUGUCCUAUUGCAUUAUUUCUCUGGUGGAUUAUGCAACAAUUAAAGAAUAAGCCAGAGACCUUUGUUAAUAAUGUAUAAUUUGAAAAUAAAGACAGUACUUCAUUCCUUGUUAAAACAAGCUCGUUAACCAGUCUAAGAGACCCAGAUACCAACACAACGAUAUGGCCGGAGACCAUAUGGUGUUGGUCUCCUUAUUGCUGGUUAUGAUGAUAUGGGCCCUCACAUUUUCCAAACCUGUCCAUCU